GUGAACGCUGGCGGUAGGCCUAACACAUGCAAGUCGAACGGCAGCACAGUAAGAGCUUGCUCUUACGGGUGGCGAGUGGCGGACGGGUGAGGAAUACAUCGGAAUCUACUUUUUCGUGGGGGAUAACGUAGGGAAACUUACGCUAAUACCGCAUACGACCUACGGGUGAAAGCAGGGGAUCUUCGGACCUUGCGCGAUUGAAUGAGCCGAUGUCGGAUUAGCUAGUUGGCGGGGUAAAGGCCCACCAAGGCGACGAUCCGUAGCUGGUCUGAGAGGAUGAUCAGCCACACUGGAGCUGAGACACGGUCCAAACUCCUCCGGGAGGCAGCAGUGGGGAAUAUUGGACAAUGGGCGCAAGCCUGUUCCAGCCAUACCGCGUGGGUGAAGAAGGCCUUCGGGUUGUAAAGCCCUUUUGUUGGGAAAGAAAAGCGGCAGGUUAAUACCCCGCUGUCCUGACGGUACCCAAAGAAUAAGCACCGGCUAACUUCGUG
This 491-nucleotide ribosomal RNA is filed under the name uncultured bacterium. RNAcentral's name for it is "partial 16S ribosomal RNA". It matches the Rfam family "Bacterial small subunit ribosomal RNA", at positions 29 to 507 of the family's 1533-position model. The record is from RNAcentral.